GUGGAGCACACCUGUAGUCCCAGCGACUUGGGAAACUGAGGGCAGGAGGAUGGCUUGAGCCCAGGAGUUCUGGGAUGUUGUGUGCUUAUGUCGAUAGGGUGUUUGCACUUAGGUUCAGCAUCAAUAUGGUGACCUCCCAGGAUGUGGGGGACACCAGAUUGCCUAAGAAGUGGUGAACCAACCCAGAUCAGAAAUGGAGCAGGUCAAAAAGUCAUCAGAGCCUUUAUAGAUUUUUUUUUUGGGGGGGGGGGUAUCUCUUCUUGCUCUUCCUAGCUUCUGGAGGUUGCUUACCAU
RNAcentral lists this small RNA (294 nucleotides) under Marmota monax (woodchuck). Lineage: Eukaryota; Metazoa; Chordata; Mammalia; Rodentia; Sciuridae. The record is from RNAcentral.